CUAUGAUAUGGCAGGAAUAGCAAAACCCCUGUACAAUAUGCUAAAAGAUAGUGCUAAUACAGAUAAGCUACUCUGGACAGAGGAAGCUGAAAAAAGUUGGAACCUGUUAAAAGAUGCUCUUACACAAGCACCUGUGUUAGCUGCUCCCAUUGAAACAGUACCAUAUAUUGUUCAAUGUUACGCAGGUGUCUCUUCAUUAAUAGCAGUUUUGAUGCAAAGGCAACAUGGCUCCUUACGAAUACUGG
Molecule: non-coding RNA, 245 nt
Organism: Pelobates cultripes (western spadefoot toad)
Lineage: Eukaryota; Metazoa; Chordata; Amphibia; Anura; Pelobatidae
Source: the annotation of a GenBank genome assembly